Molecule: long non-coding RNA, 268 nt
Filed under: Amphibalanus amphitrite
Lineage: Eukaryota; Metazoa; Arthropoda; Thecostraca; Balanomorpha; Balanidae
Description: uncharacterized LOC122367656, transcript variant X1
Source: RNAcentral
CACCAAUCACGGGGGUCAUCUCCUGCGCAAGCUUUGGAUGAACUUCUGCUUCUGCGGUCGGCAUUCUUACAGGAGAACCCAAGAUUCAUUGUACCUACCUGUAUGCAUUUCAAAACUGAAUAAUUGAUAGCAACAAGUAAAUAUUUGAAGUUGCAGCCAAAUGCUGUGCCUUCUCUGCUGCAAGAGCUACAUGUCACCAUUGAAGCAAGGACCAGCUCGACUCCUGCAGUAGGAGUCCAGCCUCGUCCAGUCGUCGCCGCUCGCCAAG